AGUUACUAAAGUUAGUGCUGCAGCUUUAAGCAGAGGUUCGGUGUGAGAGUUCACUACCAAGUGGAGCAAAAACGGCGCUACGUCUGUGAAAUAUUACUACCAGUAGCGCUUAGCGGCGGUUCAACAACUAGAACAGAACCUGCGUCUUACACCACCAGCUCGAAUACUUACAUUAUUUUUCAGGUUAUUUGUUUAGCUUUCUGACCGUGAUGCUAAUCCGGGUGAGUGUCGGUAGUUGUGUGCUGCUUUACCGGCCGGAUGUCYUUUUUUCCUGCGUYGAGCCUCGAUGUAGCCAAACUCCGUCAAGUGCUUGUUUUUUAAAUGUUACAUUAGAUUCGUUGUGUUGAUCCAUUUUGACGUGCUUCACCCCCGAGGUAAAUUUCCACCGCGACACGCAAACUUCCCCUUUCACUCUCAGCGCUAUAGUUCCACACCAUAUUGCUUGGGAUUUGUUGCCGUGCGCCUGCGCAGUGUGAAGGAAAGAGGAAACCGCUGCACGCGCAGGCUGCGAAUGAGAUGCAGGUGAUUGACAACGAGAGACUGAUCGGAGAUCACCGAUCAUUCACUUUUUCACGGAAAUCGGCCGAUUAUGAUCUGUGGCCGAUCGAUCGGCACACUUCUAGUUUCUACAUAUCCUAAAAUCGGGAGUAGCUCUUGAUUUUACUUUGAUGCUAAAGUAUUAAAUGAGUAGGAAGGAGAUUUUGGAGUGCUAUUUACUUCAGACUAUCUAUUGUCAUGCAAUCAGCAAAUGCAAUCAGAUAUGCAUCGGGAGAGAACUGAGACCUUUUGCCCUCCGUCAUCCCAACACAAAUGCAUUAUAUGAAAUGGGGAUGCGCCACACACAAUACAUACUAAUAAGGUAUAACAAGUUUCUAAUUUUCAGAAUACAUGCUGCAUUUCUUCAUGUCUUGGACCAACGCGUUUUUAGAUAAGCCAACAUAUUUGGUAAGAUAAGGAACAUUGACAGUAGCCUGAAGAUGCUUCUCUUCCCUUCAGUAAAUUAAACUUCAAUACACCAUGUUACUGUGGAGGCUGGUUUUUUUCAUGCAUGUGAAUUUCUGAUACCAUUUUUUCCAACACUUUUUUGGGGAGAACUUCAAUUUUUGCUUCUUGAUCCAUGUUUUUCCUGUUAAUGUAUACGUCACAGAGUUCCACUGCAGAUUCUGUUCACGUCAGCCCUCUUUCCUUUCCCUGUCGACGAGGUCUGGUGUAGAGCCUGAAAGGAAGCAUCUCUCUCCGCCGCGAUUUAGUCAUCUCAGAGGGACAGCAGCAGGAACAUUCUCUCUCUCCAAUAGACCUGCAAAGAAAAGAACCUGGGUUUCAGCAUUUCUCCAAUCAAGAUUAUUCGCUAAGAUUCAUCCAUCACUCAUGUAAAGCACUUUGAAUUGCCUUGUUGC
Poecilia reticulata (guppy) is the source of this 1397-nucleotide long non-coding RNA. RefSeq lists it as uncharacterized. The record is from RefSeq and is a predicted model, not a curated record. Lineage: Eukaryota; Metazoa; Chordata; Actinopteri; Cyprinodontiformes; Poeciliidae.